This 359-nucleotide long non-coding RNA is filed under the name Hordeum vulgare. RNAcentral's name for it is "long non-coding RNA (HVUL_LNC018793)". The record is from RNAcentral. Lineage: Eukaryota; Viridiplantae; Streptophyta; Magnoliopsida; Poales; Poaceae.
GUAUAUAUAGGCAUCCCCCAAUAUCCAACCGUUACAACAUUAUUUCCCAACUCGGUGACACCGAAAUGAAUCUCGGUUGUACCGAGUUGCAGUAAAUGUGACAACUUUUGAAUUCUCGGUGGUACCGAUACGAUGACCUAGAGCAGUUUCCAAAUCUCAGUGAGACCGAUUCCAAUCUCGGAAAUUCCGAUUCUUGGAAUUUGCUCAACAGAAAGUUGGUCACAUGUUUUCCGUGGCACCGAUGUGAAACUUGGUGGUACCGAGAGAUUAAGGUUUGGCAAAGGAUCUGUCACUUGGAAAAUCGGUAGGGGCGAGUGGGAAAAGUUGGUGGCACCGAUUUUGCUGGUUUGGCUCGGGAC